This is a long non-coding RNA of Scophthalmus maximus (turbot), 3039 nucleotides long. RefSeq lists it as uncharacterized. The record is from RefSeq and is a predicted model, not a curated record. The transcript has 3 exons. Lineage: Eukaryota; Metazoa; Chordata; Actinopteri; Pleuronectiformes; Scophthalmidae.
AGGAAGAGGAGGAGUCAGAGAAGUCACUUGACCAGACGAAGACUCUGGUUCACAGCGCGGUUUCUUCACACACUGUUCGCCAGGAGCUGCUGACCACAGCUGUGAAAUGUCUCACUGUUCGUCCUCUGAGGUCGCAGAUCGACGGAGAAGCUGCAGAGUCGAGAUUUAUUCAGUUCCAGUGUUUCACAAGAGGAAGUGAGGAAGACGAGGAGGAUGAUGAAGACGAGGACGACCACGAGUCCGUGGGACAGAGAGUCUGCAGUGGUGCAUUUAAAGUUGCAGGUUGAUCGACUGAACUUUCAGGGGAAGUCGGACACGGGAGCCCCCCCUCCCCCGCUCAUUUCCCAUGAUGCUCUCUGCUCCACUGGUUUGAAACAGAACAAAGAUGGAGUACAGCACCACGUUCACUUCUCCUGUCAAGACGGUGCCUCCCCUUUGUCUCGUUACAGGCCUGUGUGUGUGUGUGUGUGUGUGUGUGUGUGUUAAUAACCUCUGUGGUUCACCUGAGUCUCUUGAGCCUCAGGACAGGCGUGUGUGUGAAUAAUUUAUAGCGAUAAAGAAAACCCCAGUUCCAUUUCUUUCUCUUCCUCGCUGAGUUUCUGAGCUGGAACCACGUUUUUCCGACCGACAGCCGAGGUGCUUUCAACAGUGAUAUUAUUAUACAUAUAUACACAUAUACGUAUAUAUAUAUAUAUAUAUAUAUAUACGUAUAUGUGUAUAUAUGUAUAUAUAUAUAUAACUCCACCUGAUACCACAAAUCGAGUAUUGGUCAAGCGUGUGCGGGCGGGGCCUCGAUACCUCGAUCUAUCUCAGCCCCUAGAAAUUACAUUUUUCAUACAAGUGAACAGCAGACACAUUUGGAACAUGGCAUCGCUGCAUGUGAACCUCUCUCUGCCACCACCUGCCAUCCUGGAUUCCCCGUUCAUCUCGCUCCGUCAAACCAUGUCAGACAAGUGAUCUCGUGUUGGACUGUGAACGUACAGUACCGGCGGCGUCACCGAGUCGUGAACCAGAUCUGAACCUGGAACAUCACGUCAGCGUGUUCCUCUGGGAGGCGACGGCCCGGAGCAGCAGAGUGUGUGUGUGUGUGUGUGUGUGUGUGAGUGAGUGUGUGUGUGUGUAAGAUGAAAGGGAUGCAGACUGGCCUCAGGCUCCAAUUAAAAAAGAGGCUGAGGUUGCCAUGGCGAUACAGGUGAAGUGAAGUACUUUCUGAAAUACUACUGACGGACAGACAGAAGCGGUUUACACCCGCCAGCAGAGAGAAAACUGCUCUGUGGACGUGUUCUGGUGUUUUGUUCCACUUACGAACAUUUGACUUUCAAACCUGAGAACACUCACGCCUCAAAAACAAACUGUGUCACUCGCGUGUACAGUUUGUUCCAGAUGUUAGGAACGUUCACAGGAGGGAAACCUGCUCAUCACAUCUCCAGCUCCUGGUGAACCGUCACAGAUGGACGGAUCCAUCUGGCUGUCCACAUACUUUUGGCCAUGUGGUGAACUCCGUUAUUAAAGUCCGACUGUUUCUUGCCACACACGCCCCAUAACUCGGUUUGCCAAAAACUAUUUUCAUUACAGAACAUAGACACACACACACACACACACGCACACACGCACACACGCACACACACACACACACACACACACACACACAUACACACACACACUUCUGCUAAUAGUAUCAGGGCCAGCCAGCUGCUCUCUGCUGCAGCAGAGACCCCCUGUGUAGGCCUGUUAAACCUGUGUGUGUGUGUGUGUGUGUGUGUGUGUGUGUGUGUGUGUGUGCGUGUCGUCUCCGCCCUCACACUAAGCAGAUAAAGUCAUCAUAUCCUGAUGAAAAAAGCCAAAUAGGUCACAAAAAAAUCAUGUUUCUCUUCCUUCUACGUGCCCACACUGAUUGUGUGUGUGUGUCAUGAAGAGGCAUACUGUAUAUCAGGGACGAGUGUUUCAUUAUUGCAGCAGCGGGUGUAUUAUAAAUCCAUGGCCGACUGAGGAUCCGUCACGGUGAACUUUGGAGUUUUCAGAAGCGAGAACUUGCAGAGCUGCUGCUUCUCUGGGCGUCGACGCCAGUGUCGUCAGACUCUGUCACCGCCGGAUCCUCGUGUGCUGCACGAGAACGUGACGCUCAGAGUGCAGAGACAAUAUGGAAGAGCAUAGGACAGAGGUGAUGUAUAAUGAAUAAAGGAGAGAUAUUCUGGAUCGACGCCAAAAUGAAUUGAUAUAUUCAUUGGUCCACGUUCCAUUCUUCCACCAAGUUUACUUGAAAUCUGUGUCACAGUUUUGACAUAAUCCUGCUGACAAACAAAAAACAAACAAACAAAACCCGCAACAUUUUCUGCUUUUAUUUUUCUGACAGUCGCCAUGACGCUCGUCAGCGAUGACACGCGACAGCGACGACCCUGUUCCUGUAGCCAGAGCGGGCCGGACGAGCCCCACCCCUGGUUUUGACCUAAUGCUUUGCGACGCACUAUCUCACCUCAUGUUAGAGACGAUGCACGAUGUCUCUCUCUUCGCCGCCCUGAUAAAUAUCGUCUAACGCUUCCAACCGAUGAGUCACGCUGAGGAAAGAAGGGGUCAAGCGUAGGAUCACGCCACAAUCCCACAUACAUGUCAGGGAAUACGUUUCUUGGUUGGACCGAAGCCGCGCCUCGUGUGCAGGGAGUGGUGGGGUCGUGUAGUUUACAGCUCCGGUGUGUCAGCGGGAAGCCGCCGGCAGACUUUAACCUCGCAAGAACGAGACGCAGCCCACAUACUCCACUCUUUGCUCUGUGCACGUGCGAUUGGCUCCCAGCGCGGCGGCGUCUUCCUGCUUUGCAUAUGACUGCAGGCUUCGGGAUCAAAGAGAGGAAGUCGGGAGGCAGACGUCUCCUGCUGCUGUCAGCAGGCCUGCGAGAGGUCUACUGUACAUUGGCACUUCAGACGCUCGGCUGAGGGCCGCUCGCUGGCAGCGCAGCUGGGGGGUCGCGGUGUCACUCGAGGACACGUGGACGGAAGUCGAAGGAGCUGACGGACUCACGCUGACUCCAACUGGCGACCUUUGAG